Molecule: ribosomal RNA, 2145 nt
Filed under: Salmonella enterica subsp. enterica serovar Enteritidis
Lineage: Bacteria; Pseudomonadati; Pseudomonadota; Gammaproteobacteria; Enterobacterales; Enterobacteriaceae
Description: partial 23S ribosomal RNA
Rfam family: Bacterial large subunit ribosomal RNA
Source: RNAcentral
CGGGCGUUAAGUUGCAGGGUAUAGACCCGAAACCCGGUGAUCUAGCCAUGGGCAGGUUGAAGGUUGGGUAACACUAACUGGAGGACCGAACCGACUAAUGUUGAAAAAUUAGCGGAUGACCUGUGGCUGGGGGUGAAAGGCCAAUCAAACCGGGAGAUAGCUGGUUCUCCCCGAAAGCUAUUUAGGUAGCGCCUCGUGAAUUCAUCUCCGGGGGUAGAGCACUGUUUCGGCUAGGGGGCCAUCCCGGCUUACCAACCCGAUGCAAACUGCGAAUACCGGAGAAUGUUAUCACGGGAGACACACGGCGGGUGCUAACGUCCGUCGUGAAGAGGGAAACAACCCAGACCGCCAGCUAAGGUCCCAAAGUCAUGGUUAAGUGGGAAACGAUGUGGGAAGGCCCAGACAGCCAGGAUGUUGGCUUAGAAGCAGCCAUCAUUUAAAGAAAGCGUAAUAGCUCACUGGUCGAGUCGGCCUGCGCGGAAGAUGUAACGGGGCUAAACCAUGCACCGAAGCUGCGGCAGCGACACUGUGUGUUGUUGGGUAGGGGAGCGUUCUGUAAGCCUGUGAAGGUGUGUCGUGAGGCAUGCUGGAGGUAUCAGAAGUGCGAAUGCUGACAUAAGUAACGAUAAAGCGGGUGAAAAGCCCGCUCGCCGGAAGACCAAGGGUUCCUGUCCAACGUUAAUCGGGGCAGGGUGAGUCGACCCCUAAGGCGAGGCCGAAAGGCGUAGUCGAUGGGAAACGGGUUAAUAUUCCCGUACUUGGUGUUACUGCGAAGGGGGGACGGAGAAGGCUAUGUUGGCCGGGCGACGGUUGUCCCGGUUUAAGCGUGUAGGUGUGUGUUCCAGGUAAAUCCGGUUCACUUUAACACUGAGGCGUGACGACGAGGCACUACGGUGCUGAAGCAACAAAUGCCCUGCUUCCAGGAAAAGCCUCUAAGCAUCAGGUAACAUCAAAUCGUACCCCAAACCGACACAGGUGGUCAGGUAGAGAAUACCAAGGCGCUUGAGAGAACUCGGGUGAAGGAACUAGGCAAAAUGGUGCCGUAACUUCGGGAGAAGGCACGCUGACACGUAGGUGAAGUGAUUUACUCAUGGAGCUGAAGUCAGUCGAAGAUACCAGCUGGCUGCAACUGUUUAUUAAAAACACAGCACUGUGCAAACACGAAAGUGGACGUAUACGGUGUGACGCCUGCCCGGUGCCGGAAGGUUAAUUGAUGGGGUCAGCGCAAGCGAAGCUCCUGAUCGAAGCCCCGGUAAACGGCGGCCGUAACUAUAACGGUCCUAAGGUAGCGAAAUUCCUUGUCGGGUAAGUUCCGACCUGCACGAAUGGCGUAAUGAUGGCCAGGCUGUCUCCACCCGAGACUCAGUGAAAUUGAACUCGCUGUGAAGAUGCAGUGUACCCGCGGCAAGACGGAAAGACCCCGUGAACCUUUACUAUAGCUUGACACUGAACAUUGAGCCUUGAUGUGUAGGAUAGGUGGGAGGCUUUGAAGUGUGGACGCCAGUCUGCAUGGAGCCGACCUUGAAAUACCACCCUUUAAUGUUUGAUGUUCUAACGUGGACCCGUUACCCGGGUUGCGGACAGUGUCUGGUGGGUAGUUUGACUGGGGCGGUCUCCUCCUAAAGAGUAACGGAGGAGCACGAAGGUUGGCUAAUCCUGGUCGGACAUCAGGAGGUUAGUGCAAUGGCAUAAGCCAGCUUGACUGCGAGCGUGACGGCGCGAGCAGGUGCGAAAGCAGGUCAUAGUGAUCCGGUGGUUCUGAAUGGAAGGGCCAUCGCUCAACGGAUAAAAGGUACUCCGGGGAUAACAGGCUGAUACCGCCCAAGAGUUCAUAUCGACGGCGGUGUUUGGCACCUCGAUGUCGGCUCAUCACAUCCUGGGGCUGAAGUAGGUCCCAAGGGUAUGGCUGUUCGCCAUUUAAAGUGGUACGCGAGCUGGGUUUAGAACGUCGUGAGACAGUUCGGUCCCUAUCUGCCGUGGGCGCUGGAGAACUGAGGGGGGCUGCUCCUAGUACGAGAGGACCGGAGUGGACGCAUCACUGGUGUUCGGGUUGUCAUGCCAAUGGCACUGCCCGGUAGCUAAAUGCGGAAGAGAUAAGUGCUGAAAGCAUCUAAGCACGAAACUUGCCCCGAGAUGAGUUCUCCC